RNAcentral lists this transfer RNA (73 nucleotides) under Treponema sp. Its description in RNAcentral is "tRNA-Lys". It matches the Rfam family "tRNA". Rfam says of the family: Transfer RNA (tRNA) molecules are approximately 80 nucleotides in length. Lineage: Bacteria; Pseudomonadati; Spirochaetota; Spirochaetia; Treponematales; Treponemataceae. The record is from RNAcentral. RNAcentral also lists the same sequence under 7 other names.
GGGCCGCUAGCUCAGCUGGCAGAGCAGCAGACUCUUAAUCUGCGGGUCGCAGGUUCGAUGCCUGCGCGGCUCA